RNAcentral lists this ribosomal RNA (426 nucleotides) under uncultured bacterium. RNAcentral's name for it is "bacterial SSU rRNA". It matches the Rfam family "Bacterial small subunit ribosomal RNA", at positions 354 to 796 of the family's 1533-position model. The record is from RNAcentral.
GUGAGGAAUAUUGCGCAAUGGGCGAAAGCCAGACGCAGCAACGCCGCGUGGGCGAUGAAGGUCUUCGGAUCGUAAAGCCCUUUUACGGAGGAAGAGGAAGGACAGUACUCCGGGAAUAAGUCUCGGCUAACUACGUGCCAGCAGCCGCGGUAAAACGUAGGAGGCUAGCGUUAUCCGGAUUUAUUGGGCGUAAAGCGCGUGCAGGCGGUGCUCUAAGUUGGAUGUGAAAUCUCCCGGCCUAACUGGGAGGGGUCAUUCAAUACUGGGGCACUUGAGGACAGGAGAAGGAAGUGGAAUUCCCGGUGUAGCGGUGGAAUGCGCAGAUAUCGGGAGGAACACCAGUGGCGAAAGCGGCUUCCUGGUCUGUCCCUGACGCUAAUACGCGAAAGCUAGGGGAGCAAACGGGAUUAGAUACCCUAGUAGUCC